CUUGCAGCCAUAUCAUGUUGAAACACUGGUUCUUGUAUGAUCAUCAAAGUUCAGCCACAUUUAGCCUGGUCAGUACCUAGAUGAGUGACCUCUUAGGAAUACCAGGUGCC
Molecule: non-coding RNA, 110 nt
Organism: Acanthosepion pharaonis
Lineage: Eukaryota; Metazoa; Mollusca; Cephalopoda; Sepiida; Sepiidae
Source: the annotation of a GenBank genome assembly